This is a long non-coding RNA of Neopsephotus bourkii (Bourke's parrot), 2193 nucleotides long. RefSeq lists it as uncharacterized. The record is from RefSeq and is a predicted model, not a curated record. The transcript is spliced from 3 exons. NCBI's taxonomy places the organism in Eukaryota, Metazoa, Chordata, Aves, Psittaciformes, Psittacidae.
UUCACCCUUGGAAAUGGAAAUAAUCUGUAGUCAAAAUGGUGCCCUUAAUUUUCAAUUUCUUGUUUAACUCUGGUUUAACACUGUUGUUUUAAUGUAACACAGUGGGAUGUAAUAAAAUUUAAAUAAUAUGGAAUGUGGUAAAUAUUUUAUAGGUAUCUCAUACUACAGUUUAUUACAGUGAUGGCUUCUCUGUGCCACGAGGCAUUAUAGACAUGAAACAAGGGCAUAGCACUUCUGAGGAUGAGGGAGACGGCUGAAGAACUGGAGAUGCUGGAAUCACAGUGUGGGAGGGAAGAGCUGACCAUAGCCUUUUCCUCUGACAAGGCUUUUUCUUGCUCAGUCAGAAAACUACCCUUCUCUGACUUUCCCUUAUAGAUUGUACAGAUACUUGAAUCAACUGUGCAUGAAAAAAAUCUGUGUUGCUUUGUUUGCAUGUAGUGUGUCACUUACAUUGAAUUUGUUCCAUUGAAUGUAAUCAGACUCCAGGGCUGAAAACAAGAGGAAAGCAUUUAGACAGACUUUACAGCCAGGCUCUGUGUUGAGCCAGUGAAACUCAAAAGAAUUAAGAAUUGGAGUUUGGCUCUACACAUCAUCACCCUGGCCUCUUCUAUGAUCUUCAAUAAAUGAGAGCAUUAUUAUUAACUGUAGUGGUAGUUCAGUGCAUUAGAUAGAUUUUACUAGUCAGGUCAAAAAGCCACAUUUUUGACACACUGGGCUGGAUGCACAUGUUUGAGUUAUAUGAGGGGGAGCAAAUACUCAAACCGAAUCAUGCAGUUUUGCAAGACUGUUCUUGAACUUCAGGUUACAACAGAAGCUGGAGAAGUGUUUCCUCCUCUGGAGAACAACGGUAUUUAAGAAGCACCACACAACAGAAGAUCUCAUUCUGGAGUUCUGAAAUCCGCCCUUAAAGGGGCAACUAUGCACAAAUCUGGACCUAAUGUAUUAUAAGUGGAAAUGCCAUUCUUGCAUCAACUGUCAACUCUCCAAAACUCUAGGGACUUUUUACAGUGAUGUUGUGUAUUGGAACCAUUUGCACAUGGAAUAGUCCAAGCAGUCCUUAAUACAUGCAGGUUUAUGUCCAGUUACCGCCUUCUCAAGCUGAGCAAUCAUUAUAUCACUGCUACAGUGGCCUAACAGCCUAAUAACGUAAAGACAAGACAUUGCAUUGGAAUGGGCAGCUCUGAAGACACAUAUGCUCAAAUAUGACCUCAUCACAUUAAAGAUAUACUUAGAGGAAUAGUAUCCUUCCAGGAAAGAGCACUCUACAGCUGUUACCACUAAUGCCUGAACAGGUCCCUUGCUCAUGGUAAUUCUUAUACCACCUUUGAAAGAAGAGUUAUUUCAUGCAUUUUGUAGAUGAAUGAACAGAAAUAGGAAAUCUCAAAGCUGGAAUCUACCUAGAAUGCUCACCAAAGGCCAGGAAAUGUCAUCAAAAGGCCCCUGCAUCACUGUGCAAGUGAAGAUACUUUCCCAUAAAAGUGGUCCACACUGUAAUAUUACAGUGGAAGAGACCAAAAGCUCAAUGUGUUUGGUAUGUGAAGCCCUGCAUUCCAGGCAGCAGUGCAGAACACAGGGCUGGGAGGCUAUUACUGCUCCAUUAUGUAAUGUUCACAAGCUCUUUGCCACGAGUGACCGAACACCUGCAAGAGGCACAUAUUUCCCACUCUACUAGGGUUGCAAUCUCAUUUUGUCUUUCCUGUAUUUAUCUUCACAGAGGAAUUACUCAAAACCUGCAGACUUUCUUUUUAAGCCUCUUGGGUGUCACUAGAUUUUCACUCUAUGUGUGCCUCAUGUUUUGGGCUCUCCAGACAUACUGUUUCUUUAUUUGUUUGUUUUCCCAUCAGCCUUCACUAUUUUAUCCAUCUCUGUUGUGGUUCUCUCCUGCAGUUAUAUUCCUAAUUUAUAAUCAGUCAUAUGGCACACUAUCACAUUUCUGAAGAAAUAUGAAUACAUAUCGUUCUGCUUAAUUUAUAGCUCUGUUCUUUUGAAGCACAAAGUAAAAGCUCUUUGCAAAAAUAUGAACACUGGAUGGAAUGAUUGUCAUUUUUUGGAUUUCUGGGGAGUCUCACACUGACAGCUGUUAUUGCUGGUGUCAAUCCCACUUCCAUGUAAUAAAACACUUCUCUGUAUUAUCUCACUGCACAAGUAUGAUAAAUACUUUGUUACAGGCAUUUACUUACAUCCUAGUCCUUC